Molecule: ribosomal RNA, 450 nt
Filed under: uncultured bacterium
Lineage: Bacteria
Description: partial 16S ribosomal RNA
Rfam family: Bacterial small subunit ribosomal RNA
Source: RNAcentral
GUGGGGAAUAUUGGACAAUGGGCGAAAGCCUGAUCCAGCCAUGCCGCGUGUGUGAAGAAGGUCUUCGGAUUGUAAAGCACUUUAAGUUGGGAGGAAGGGCAGUAAGUUAAUACCUUGCUGUUUUGACGUUACCGACAGAAUAAGCACCGGCUAACUUCGUGCCAGCAGCCGCGGUAAUACGAAGGGUGCAAGCGUUAAUCGGAAUUACUGGGCGUAAAGCGCGCGUAGGUGGUUUUGUAAGUUGGAGGUGAAAUGCCCGGGCUCAACCUGGGAACUGCCUCCAAAACUGCAUGACUAGAGUACGGUAGAGGGUAGUGGAAUUUCCUGUGUAGCGGUGAAAUGCGUAGAUAUAGGAAGGAACACCAGUGGCGAAGGCGACUACCUGGACUGAUACUGACACUGAGGUGCGAAAGCGUGGGGAGCAAACAGGAUUAGAAACCCGGGUAGUCC